Molecule: ribosomal RNA, 770 nt
Filed under: uncultured bacterium
Lineage: Bacteria
Description: bacterial SSU rRNA
Rfam family: Bacterial small subunit ribosomal RNA
Source: RNAcentral
AGAGUUUGAUCCUGGCUCAGGAUAAACGCUGGCGGCGUGCCUAAUGCAUGCAAGUCGAACGGGAGUGCUUUCGGGCAUCGACCGUGGCGGACGGGUGAGGAACACGUAGCUAACCUGCCCAGGUAUGGGGGAUAUGCGCUGGAAGCGGCGUGCAAUACCGCAUACGUUCGGGUCACGGGAGUGACCUGAGGAAAGCCGUAAGGCGUACCUGGAGGGGGCUGCGGCCGAUUAGCUAGUUGGAGUGGUAAGAGCGCCCCAAGGCGAUGAUCGGUAGCUGGUCUGAGAGGACGAUCAGCCACACGGGGACUGAGACACGGCCCCGACUCCUACGGGGGGCAGCAGCAAGGAAUUUUCCACAAUGGGCGCAAGCCUGAUGGAGCAACGCCGCGUGGGGGGAUGACGCGUUUCGGCGUGUAAACCCCUUUUCGAGGGGACGAAGGCAAUGACGGUACCCUCGGAAUAAGGCCCGGCUAACUACGUGCCAGCAGCCGCGGUAAGACGUAGGGGCCGAGCGUUGUCCGGAAUUACUGGGCGUAAAGCGCGCGCAGGCGGAUGGUCGCAUCAUCGGUGAAAGCCCCCCGCUCAACGGGGGAGGGUCCGGUGAGAUGGGCCGUCUGGAGGCAGGGAGAGGCGAGUGGAAUUCCGGGUGUAGUGGUGAAAUGCGUAGAGAUCCGGAGGAACACCAGUGGCGAAGGCGGCUCGCUGGACCUGACCUGACGCUGAGGCGCGAAGGCGUGGGGAGCGAACGGGAUUAGAUACCCUAGUAGUCC